This 1325-nucleotide long non-coding RNA is filed under the name Sus scrofa (pig). RNAcentral describes it as "lncRNA (ENSSSCG00000061751.1)". The record is from RNAcentral. Lineage: Eukaryota; Metazoa; Chordata; Mammalia; Artiodactyla; Suidae.
AUCUGUAUUUUUAUUGUUGAGUUGUAGGAAUUAUAUAUAUAUGUAUAUAUAUGUGUGUAUAUAUAUGUGUAUAUAUAUAUAUAUAUAUUCUGAAUACUAGGCUUUUAUCAGUUAUAAUUUCUCCUAUUCUGGGUUGUAUUUUAUUUUAUUUAUAAUGUCCUUUAAUGCACAACACAAAAGUUUUAAAUUUUGAUCAAGUUUAAAUUUUUCUUUUGUUCUUUGUGCUUUUGCUAAAUCAUUGCCUAACUCAAAGUUGAGAAGAUUUUCAUCUGUGUUUCUUUCUAAUAAACAUUUUACAGUUUAUUAGGUCUUGAUGCAUUUUGAUUUAAUUUUUGUUUGUGGUGUGAAGGUCCAAAUAAAUUUUACAUGCAAAUCUCUAAUCGUUGAAAUUUGUUUAUGUCUUAGGACUGCCUAGUCUUCUUAAGAUGGCCAGGCAGGAGGACAUUUUCCCCCUAGGUGAUGACCUAAGGCAAGUAGACCAUCAGUUAUUUCUUCAACAAAAACAGAUUUAUCAGGAUCAGCAGAGAAUUGAAUUUGGGAUCUGUAGUCAUGGUGAACCACAUGCUGGUUCCCACAUAGCAAGGGAAAGAGAGCACUUUUAUAGAGGGGAGAAGGAAGUUGAGUGGCUAUAGUAAACAAAAGAUUCAUGGCUUUUCAUUGGCUGACUCCUUGCCAGGAAAGACGAGGAAUCUCUUCUUCAUUGGUCUCUACUAUUGUUGCAAAGCAUGAGAGCUUCGCCUCUGGUCUCCUGACUCUAUUUGAAUGAGGUGUCUGUUUAUUGACUUCUUUACAUUUCCCCCUUUUGAUCAAGAUCUUUCCCUGAAAGCAUCAUGAUUAAGAACUGGAAAACUACUGAGGUCACGUUCAAGUAAUAAGGACCAGUAAGAGGGAAAACUCUCAGAUACUUUUUAUGUAAAGUUCACAUAGUAUCAAGAUCAUAGACACUGGAGGUCAUCUGAAGUGUUACGUCAUGAUCAGAGUUUUGGGAACAAACACCCAUCAGGCCUGGUCCAAAUAUUUUGGGAAAACCAUCUCAUCAGUUAUUGUCUGCUUUGAUUCCAAGAAAUCUUUACAUUUAGGUCACCAGAUGAUGUGCAGAUAGUCUAGUUUAGUGCUUACUUUAGGUAUGUUACGUGAAUCCAAGAGUCUACUCCAUGGGGUUUGGUGGCACCAGGGUUGAUUAGCAAUACCUGAUAAGGGCCUUUCCAGGAAUUCCCACAUGGCUCAGCAAGUUAAGGAUCCAGCAUUGUCACUGCAGUGGUUUGGGUUGCUGCUGUGGCACUGGUUCUAUACCUGGCCUGGGAACUUCCAUAUGCUGUGGGUGU